AUAUCAAUAAGCGGAGGAAAAGAAACCAACAGGGAUUGCCUCAGUAACGGCGAGUGAAGCGGCAAGAGCUCAAAUUUUAAAUCUACCUUUUAGGUCGAGUUGUAAUUUGUAGAGGAACAUUCGGUGACGUCUAGGUCCGAGUCUUCUGGAAGGAAGCGCCGAUGAGGGUGAGAGCCCCGUACGACCAACGACUUAGCCAUGUGAAUGUCCUUCGAAGAGUCGAGUUGUUUGGGAAUGCAGCUCAAAGCGGGUGGUAACCUCCAUCCACGGCUAGAUAAUGGUGAGAGACCGAUAGCGCACAAGUA
RNAcentral lists this ribosomal RNA (305 nucleotides) under uncultured eukaryote. Its description in RNAcentral is "partial large subunit ribosomal RNA". It matches the Rfam family "Eukaryotic large subunit ribosomal RNA", at positions 40 to 350 of the family's 3401-position model. The record is from RNAcentral.